This 2907-nucleotide ribosomal RNA is filed under the name Cyclobacteriaceae bacterium. Its description in RNAcentral is "23S ribosomal RNA". It matches the Rfam family "Bacterial large subunit ribosomal RNA". The record is from RNAcentral. Lineage: Bacteria; Pseudomonadati; Bacteroidota; Cytophagia; Cytophagales; Cyclobacteriaceae.
AAAGAAGUAAGCAAGGGCGUAUGGAGGAUGCCUAGGCUCUCAGAGGCGAAGAAGGACGUGAUAAGCUGCGAAAAGCUGCGGGGAGUUGCAAAUAGACUGUGAUCCGCAGGUGUCCGAAUGGGGCAACCCGUUGUACUGAAGGUACAAUAUGGCAUAGCAAUAUGUCAGGCAAACCCAGGGAACUGAAACAUCUAAGUACCUGGAGGAAGAGAAAACAAGUCAGUGAUUGCGCCAGUAGUGGCGAGCGAACGCGCAAGAGCCCAAACCCUUCCAGUCAAGGCUGGCGGGGGGUUAUAGGACCACGUAAUCGAAAUACCAUGAAGAUGAACCGGGUGGGAAACCGGGCCAAAGCGGGUGAUAGCCCCGUAAUCGUAAAAUGGUAUGGAGAGGUGGUAUCCUGAGUAGGGCGGGGUCGGAGACGCCCCGUUUGAAUUUGCCGGCACCAUCCGGUAAGGCUAAAUACUACUGAGAGACCGAUAGUGUACCAGUACUGUGAAGGAAAGGUGAAAAGUACUCCGAACAGGAGGGUGAAAUAGAACCUGAAACCGUACGCUUACAAGCGGUGGGAGCUCCGUAAUGGAGUGACCGCGUGCCUUUUGCAUAAUGAGCCUACGAGUUACUGUCACUGGCGAGGUUAAAUGACUCAAGUCAUGCAGCCGGAGCGAAAGCGAGUCUGAACAGGGCGCACAGUCAGUGGGAGUAGACGCGAAACUUUGUGAUCUACCCUUGGCCAGGAUGAAGUUAGGGUAACACCUGAUGGAGGUCCGAACUAGUAAACGUUGAAAAGUUUUUGGAUGAGCUGAGGGUAGGGGUGAAAGGCUAAUCAAACUGAGAAAUAGCUCGUACUCCCCGAAAUGCCUUUAGGGGCAGCGUGAGGGUUAAGUUUAACACAGGUAGAGCUACCAAUUGGACUAGGGGGAGUCACAUCCUACCAAAUCCAGAUGAACUCCGAAUGGUGUUAAAUAUACCUUGCAGUGAGGGCAUGGGUGCUAAGGUCCGUGUCCGAGAGGGAAAGAACCCAGAUCUACAGCUAAGGUCCCAAAAUGUACACUAAGUUGAACUAAGGCGGUUCAGUUGCCUAGACAGCCAGGAUGUUUGCUUGGAAGCAGCAAUUCAUUUAAAGAGUGCGUAACAGCUCACUGGUCGAGCGACAGAGCAUCGAUAAUAAUCGGGCAUCAAGUGUACUACCGAAGCUUAGGAUUGCUGACGUAACAGUCAGCACUGGUAGGGGAGCAUUCUAACAGCGGGGAAGCAGCCUGGUAAUGGGUUGUGGAGCGGUUAGAAAAGCAAAUGUAGGCAUAAGUAACGAUAAGGCGGGUGAGAAACCCGCCCACCGAUAGACUAAGGAUUCCGCGGCAAUGUUAAUCAACCGCGGGUAAGUCGGGACCUAAGGCGAAGCCGAGAGGCGUAGUCGAUGGACAACCGGUUAAUAUUCCGGUACUACCGUUAUAAGCGAAGUGGAGAAGGAGGAGUGACAGCUCCGCGAACUGACGAAACAGUUCGUUGAAAGGCGUAGGUAGAUCUUUUACAGGCAAAUCCGUAAAAGAUGCUGAAACCCAAUAGUACCUGGAGGCUUCGGCCAAAGGGAUAGAGAGCGUAAGCAGACUUCCAAGAAAACCCGCUAGCGUUAAUUAUAAUGGUACCCGUACCGCAAACCGACACAGGUAGUCAAGGAGAGAAUCCUGAGGUGCUCGAGUGAAUCAUGGCUAAGGAACUAGGCAAAUUAAUCCUGUAACUUCGGAAGAAGGGAUGCCUCCCCCGAGCAAUCGGGGAGGUCGCAGAGAAAUGGCCCAGGCGACUGUUUAACAAAAACACAUGGCUUUGCGAAAUCGAAAGAUGAAGUAUAAGGCCUGACACCUGCCCGGUGCUGGAAGGUUAAGGGGGGACGUUAGUGGGUAACUGCGAAGCGUUGAACUGAAGCCCCAGUAAACGGCGGCCGUAACUAUAACGGUCCUAAGGUAGCGAAAUUCCUUGUCGGGUAAGUUCCGACCUGCACGAAUGGUGUAACGAUCUGGGCACUGUCUCAGCCAUGAGCUCGGUGAAAUUGUAGUCACGGUGAAGAUGCCGUGUACCCGUCACGGGACGGAAAGACCCCAUGAACCUUUACUAUAGCUUCACAUUGACAUUGUGUAAAUGAUGUGUAGGAUAGGCGGGAGGCAUUGAUCCCGGGCCGCUAGGUUCGGGGGAGCCAACGGUGAAAUACCGCCCUUCGUUUUCUUGAUGUCUAAUCCCGCUUAAAGCAGGAGACAGUGUGUGGUGGGUAGUUUGACUGGGGUGGUCGCCUCCGAAAGUGUAUCGGAGGCUUUCAAAGGUAUGCUCAGUACGCUUGGUAACCGUACGUGGAGUGCAAUAGCAUAAGCAUGCUUGACAGUGAGACCGACGGGUCGAGCUGGAUGGAAACAUGGAUAUAGUGAUCCGGUGGUUCUGUAUGGAAGGGCCAUCGCUCAAAGGAUAAAAGGUACUCUGGGGAUAACAGGCUGAUCUCCCCCAAGAGCUCAUAUCGACGGGGAGGUUUGGCACCUCGAUGUCGGCUCGUCACAUCCUGGGGCUGGAGAAGGUCCCAAGGGUUAGGCUGUUCGCCUAUUAAAGUGGCACGCGAGCUGGGUUCAGAACGUCGUGAGACAGUUCGGUCCCUAUCUGUGAUGGGCGUAGGAAGUUUGAGAGGAUCUGACCUUAGUACGAGAGGACCGGGUUGGACUAACCGCUGGUGUACCAGUUGUGGCGUCAGCUGCACCGCUGGGUAGCUAUGUUGGGACGGGAUAAGCGCUGAAAGCAUCUAAGCGCGAAACCCACCUCGAGAUGAGACUUCCAUUAAGGGACGUCAGAGAUGAUGACGUUGAUAGGCUGCAGGUGUACAGGCAGGAAUGUCAAAGCUGAGCAGUACUAAUAACCCGAUAACUUCUUUUC